Molecule: ribosomal RNA, 253 nt
Filed under: uncultured bacterium
Lineage: Bacteria
Description: partial 16S ribosomal RNA
Rfam family: Bacterial small subunit ribosomal RNA
Source: RNAcentral
UACGUAGGGCGCAAGCGUUAUCCGGAAUUAUUGGGCGUAAAGAGCUCGUAGGCGGUUUGUCGCGUCUGCUGUGAAAGACCGGGGCUCAACUCCGGUUCUGCAGUGGGUACGGGCAGACUAGAGUGCAGUAGGGGAGACUGGAAUUCCUGGUGUAGCGGUGAAAUGCGCAGAUAUCAGGAGGAACACCGGUGGCGAAGGCGGGUCUCUGGGCAGUAACUGACGCUGAGGAGCGAAAGCGUGGGGAGCGAACAGG